Molecule: long non-coding RNA, 3102 nt
Filed under: Triticum aestivum (bread wheat)
Lineage: Eukaryota; Viridiplantae; Streptophyta; Magnoliopsida; Poales; Poaceae
Description: long non-coding RNA (TAES_LNC000199)
Source: RNAcentral
GCCAUUAACGCCAUAAUGUGGACGAACGCCCCUGCUCGAAUUCUGACCUCCCCUGCUCUUAUAAAAGGUACCCAGACGAGAGCCUCGAAGCCACUCACUAGCCCAUCCGAACACCCCUCUCUGAACCUCCUCCUCUGCGAGCAAUUGCUCGUCGGAGUUCGGCAACUCCGGCGGCCGCUCCACGCCGCCACGGGACAAGUCCGAGCCUGUGAUCUUAUCCAAAGGACUACCCUUGUCGACCUCUUCGCCGUUCUGCUACUACUUGACGUUGGGGGCCUUCUUCCUCAACUCCGGCGACUUUUUUCCCCAACUCCGGCGACUAACUCCGGUGAGCACUGUGUAAAUCCCGUAAUUGUUUUUCAGAAAAAUACUCAAAUUCGGAAAUUCAUAUCUCCUAGACCGUAAGUCCGAAUUCGACAAAUUUUAUAUCCACGGAUUCAUUGAGACACGAAGUUUAUCAUGAGACAAAAAUAUUUCACUUUUGGUAAAUUAAAUUUGACACAAAUUUAAAAUUUGUAUUUGAGUAUUUUUUGCUAUAUCUAUUAAUCUGUAAUUCUUUUGAAAAUGUUUCCUUCAACAAAAUUGAUCCUUCGGUCCAUAUCUUGCUGUUAGAAUUUUUUUCCUAAUUGUUCACCUAUGUCUAGCCACUGUUUCAACCUUAACACUUCAUAUAGUUUUUCUUUUAUCGUAAUUCAAUUUCAUCAUUAGUUUAAUUUGAUUCUUGAUUCAACUUUCUUGAGAAGAUCAUUAGGAACCUCUCUGGUCAUAUGUUAUCAUUAUACAAAUUUAAACUUCACGAGAUGUUACAUACAUUUUGUAACAUAAAUCUUUGUGCCACAAACUCCAUCUACCAUUUUCAUUAUAGACUUUGUCGUAAAACCUUGCCUCACAACUCUUCAGCCCCUGAUCUUCACUUUGACCCAACCCUAGAACAAAAUCUAUAUCAUAUUUUCAUUCUUGAUCUUAUCUCAACCCGUAACCAAGUCCUAACAACUUAUGUAGGAAUGUUUUUUUAUUUUGUAUUAUAAUUUGAAUAUUUUAUUUGGAUCUUUAUUUGAAUGUUGUUGUGUGUUAAAGUACUUUCUUAUAUCGUUAGAUAUAUCGUAACGAGAAGGAGAGACGACUCAAUAUAAUUUUUAUCUUCAUCAACAGUACAAGGCAAGUUACAUCUUGAUCAUGCCCUUUUAUACCUAUGUUUUAUAUAUGCAUUUAGUCCUUCGAUGUAGGGUUUGCAUGAAUAUGUUAGUUGGCUAUAUUAUAAACCCAGUAGUGCAAUGAGGUAGGUCUGAGCCUUUACUUCUUUGUCGCCAACGUUGUAGGGAUUUUUGUUAUGCCAUUGUAGACGGGGAUUGGUAUGUGAGAUCAUGAAAGUUGCGAGUGAUAUAAUAAUUAAGGGCAACCUUAAGGCGGCAACAUUAACACACAUCUGGGUGGAUUGGUAAGGGGCACCCUAGAGAAACCAGUGGACUUGCCCGGGCACCCUGGAGAAACCAGUGGACUUGCCCAGGGGAUCCCGGAGUACCCGUGUGAUCACCCUAUGGACUGCCACUCAGACUCAAAGGGAUUCAUCAAUUUUUCAUGACUAGAAGCUUACCUGCACAGCCAGAAGCUAUUAUGGGCUCUGGCUUAGUUGAGUACGUUGUGUGACCUCUUACAGUGGUAGACUAGCAGAUGUAGUUAUAUAUGUAGGUGCACCGGUCCUACCCAGGGUUAAGAGGGAACACUUCAGAAAGACUAUGUCUCGAUCUUCCGGCUCUCAAACACCAGGCAGUGCGAGGACUGCAAAGGAGGUGAUCGAGUCUUGUGGGGAAAAGUGUGCAAAACUCUGCAGAGUGUAAAACUAAUCGAUUAGCCGUGUCCCCGGUUAUGGACAAUUUGAGCAUCUGGAAAGUGGGAAUUGAGCGAUCUCAUCACUCUUAAUUAAUUUAAUGGGUUUUAAUGAAUUUGGGUAUAGAUUGAAUGGAGCAACCAUCUCAAUCAUAUUAUGAUGAAUUAUGUAGUAACAAUAUGAUAUUCUUUUGAUGAUAGGGAAAAAUCAGCUUUAUGCAAAUUAAAUUUAGAACCAUCCACCAGCCAUAUUGCAUGUAUAAAUAGGACAUUUAUUCAUCUCUUGUGGUGUGACUUACCAGUACAUUCAACGUACUGACCUACACGGCUGCAACAUAUUAUGUUGCAGGUAUUAUUCGACGAGUAAGUGAUACGAUAGGGUUACGGUCCGCACUCAACUUGCAGAUGGCGUUGAUGGGACUCCACACCCGUUUGCCUGUUUUCGCUGAGAUUCUUAAGGUAUAUAUCAGUUUUUUUACUUAUACAUGUGAUUGCACUUUGAUAUAUACAUUGAUGUACUCUGUGUGCUCGCAUACCGAUCCAGGGAUAGCACAGAUACACAGAGACUUGACCGUUUGAGGUCGGGUCGCUACACUUAGUUGUGAUCUUCAUCGCAUUUGUUGUGAUGAGGGUAAGUUUUCUCUAGUGUUUUGCUUAACAAAUGCAUACUUAGCUUACUUUCCUCCUAAAUGGCAUAACUACCCAAGUUAGACAAAAAAUGAGCUAUACUUAGCUUUCUUUCCUCAAAAAUGUCAUGAUAAUCAUUGUUACCUCCAAAAUGAUAUAGACUUACCUUACUUUCCUCGAAAAUGACAUAAUAACCGUAGUAAGCUCCAAAAAUGACCUAUUUACCUAGCUUAGCUCUAAAAUGACCUACACUUAGAAAAAGAAAGAGAAGAAAAAAAUCUUCUUCUUCUUCCUUUUCUUCCUCUUCUUCUUCUUCUUCUUCUUCUUCUUCUUCUUCUUCUUCUUCUUUUUCUAGAUAGUCUUCUUCUAACUUGCUUCUUUCCCAAUUUGCAGAUUUGCUUUAUUAGAUGAGGAAGCUUGCGUUGACGGAGUCUACUCUUCUCUUUAUGCUUCCUUCUUGUUUUGAUUUUGUACGAUGAACAAUGUCAAACUUGCUACCUAUAUAUAUGUGUGUGUGUAUAUAUGUGAAAUUCUGUCAAAUUGAAUGGUUUCAAGAAAAACAGAAAAAACAGGGGCUAUAUAGACUCUUUGCCGUGAGCUGGUUUAACCCCAUAGAAAAAUGAUGACCCAAUAGAUACCAUUAGUCCC